GAUGAAGAACGUAGCGAAAUGCGAUAAGUAAUGUGAAUUGCAGAAUUCAGUGAAUCAUCGAAUCUUUGAACGCACAUUGCGCCCGCCAGUAUUCUGGCGGGCAUGCCUGUCUGAGCGUCAUUUCAACCCUCAUGCCCCUAGGGCGUGGUGUUGGGGAUCGGCCAAAGCCCGCGAGGGACGGCCGGCCCCUAAAUCUAGUGGCGGACCCGUCGUGGCCACCUCUGCGAAGUAGUGAUAUUCCGCAUCGGAGAGCGAUGAGCCCCUGCCGUUAAACCCCCAACUUUCCAAGGUUGACCUCAGAUCAGGUAGGAAUACCCGCUGAACUUAAGCAUAUCAAUAAGCGGAGAA
This 348-nucleotide unclassified non-coding RNA is filed under the name soil metagenome. Its description in RNAcentral is "partial contains 5.8S ribosomal RNA, internal transcribed spacer 2, and large subunit ribosomal RNA". The stretch from base 1 to 120 matches the Rfam family "5.8S ribosomal RNA", at positions 35 to 154 of the family's 154-position model. The record is from RNAcentral.